CCUACGGGUGGCAGCAGUGAGGAAUAUUGGUCAAUGGCCGGAAGGCUGAACCAGCCAAGCCGCGUGAAGGACGACGGUGCUACGGAUUGUAAACUUCUUUUGUCAGGGGGCAAAGACAGGCUCGAGAGCCUCCCCGAGGGUACUCGGAGAAAAAGCAUCGGCUAACUCCGUGCCAGCAGCCGCGGUAAUACGGAGGAUGCGAGCGUUAUCCGGAUUUAUUGGGUUUAAAGGGGGCGUAGGCGGACUGUCAAGUCAGCGGUAAAAGCGCGGGGCUCAACCCCUUCGAGCCGUUGAAACUGGGUGUCUUGAGUGGGCGAGAGGUAUGCGGAAUGCGAGGUGGAGCGGUGAAAUGCAUAGAUAUUGCGCAGAACUCCGAUUGCGAAGGCAGCGUACCGGCGGCGAUCUGACGCUGAGGCACGAAAGCGUGGGGAUCGAACAGGAUUAGAUACCCCGGUAGUC
RNAcentral lists this ribosomal RNA (459 nucleotides) under uncultured bacterium. RNAcentral describes it as "partial 16S ribosomal RNA". It matches the Rfam family "Bacterial small subunit ribosomal RNA", at positions 338 to 795 of the family's 1533-position model. The record is from RNAcentral.